Molecule: long non-coding RNA, 3347 nt
Filed under: Homo sapiens (human)
Lineage: Eukaryota; Metazoa; Chordata; Mammalia; Primates; Hominidae
Description: HSALNT0112847
Source: RNAcentral
GUUCUUACAAAUGGUCACCAGAAGGAGGACAAUCACAAACUGUCUCAUCCUCCUCUGCAAAUCCAACAGAAAGGACACAGUAGAGUGGGCAAGAAUGCAAAGAAGGUCUGUGGUUUGGAACUGGCCCAAGCCGAACUAAACUUUUCUAAAUAUACAUUAAACUGUCAACAAAGAGCACCGUGACCCACAGCCUGAAUAAAGGGAGAGCCCCAAGGCCCUCUGAAGCCACUAGUUCUGUGAGUUGUUUUAGGGAGAAGACAGACAACCAAGAAUUAUUUACCUUAUUAGACUGUGCCCAUCCAAGCCCAGGUAAAACUUUUUGAUCAGCAGAAAACUGGAAUUAUUUCCCUUUCUCUAUCCUGGAUUGAGUGUGAAUUCCCCAGAGAAACUUGGCUUUGAGAGCACUAGCUGGACAUAUAGGGGUCCAUUUCCAAUCUGCUCUGAGAAGGGCCCUGUCUUCAUCCUAAAGGAAGGCUUUAGAAAACUGUUAUCUAAGAUCUAGGAUUGAAGAUGGUGAGAACCUGAGGCUGAGCAAUUGGCCCCAAUUCUUCCUGAAGCAUUAUCUGAGAGAGAGAGCCUAGCCUGUGGUUUUUGACCCCUGGCAGAAGGGUGGAGAGAGGGAAGAAGAAAGAAGGAAGAUGAAGACAACUUCCUGCUCAAGACCAACCCAUCUCCCCUCAUUCUGGGGUGACCAAUUGAGAAAACAAUGAUAUCUCCCUUACUCUCAUCUGUUUCCAAAGGCUUUGCUUCAUCUACCAAAAAACCGUGUGAGUGAGAACCAUCUACCCUCAUGUGCUUAUUAAGCUCUUAGAGUCAUUCUCUGGUGACUAUAUUGAUUCAUUUAUUUGUACUCUAGGAACAUAAAACAAUAUGGCAUUAUUGACACAGAAAACAAAGAAUAGACAGAUAGCAUACAGCUGAACAACUUUAAUUACCAGGGUUCCAGUGUCUGUUUAACUAGCUGUGUAAAUAUGAGUAUUUGAAUUAAUUUUUCUAGGAUCAAUUUCCUUACUUCUAAAUGAGAAAGACGAGGCCAAAAGUUCUUAACCUUACUUCUGGCUUUACAACUGAAUGGUUCUCUGUUCCUAAUAAUGAGUUCCUUUUUUUUUUUUUUUUCUGAGACGAAGUCUCGCUCUGUCACCAGGCUGGAGUGCAGUGGCACAAUCUUGCUCACUGCAACCUCUGCCUCCCGGGUUCAAGCAAUUCUCCUGCCUCAGCCUCACGAGUAGCUGGGACUACACGCGCCUGCCACCAUACCCAGCUAAUUUUUGUAUUUUUAGUAGAGACAGGGUUUCACCAUGUUGGCCAGGAUGGUCUUGAUCUCUUGACCUCGUGAUCCGCCGGCCUCGGCCUCCCAAAGUGCUGAGAUUACAGGCGUGAGCCACCGCGCCUGGCCCUAAUAAUGAGUUCUUAUGAAUGGUAUAUGUACGCCAAAUAGAAAGCAUGCUAAUAGCUAAGAAGGAAUCGUGAAGGAUAAUGAGAAUUUGCUGCCUUUUCUAGUCAUUCUAGAGGAAUUUAUAAAUAAAUAAAAUGGUUUGAUAUGUAAGAAUAUCUGCUGAGCCAAACAGUGCACACUUCUUAGACAUAAGUUGUAGCCAAGGCAAUAAAGCUUAAGGAUGGAAUAGAAGCAUUAAGGAAAAUUUUCCUAGAAAGGAAAAAAAUGGAGGCAGAAAGGGUGGGAAAGGCAGACAGAAGUCAACUCAUAGGAAGCAGAGAGAUAAAGAGCUUUGAAAUAUAAUGUGAGGACCUAGACAUAUUUGAGAAGAGAGGUACUGGUCAAAACAAAGGACAGAGAUGGCAGAAGCCCACAGGAAACUUAUGGCCAAUGGUAGCAGUCAGUGAGGAUGAGUAGGGUAGUAAUAAUAUAUUAUAACUAAUUACUGCCAUUUAUUGAUCACUUACUAAGUAUUAAAAUUAUUUGUUAGGAAAUUUAUAAAUACCUUGUCUCCUUUCUAGAACUCUCUCCAAAGGAUAUGGUCAUAUUCAUCAUAUAGAUAAGUAAACUAAGGCUCAGGAAAAAUGACUUCCUCAAGGGCAAACCCAGGUGUUGAUCCCUAAUGAAUAUCCGGCACCCCGCAUUCCAUCUCGGUGACUGCUUCCAGAAAACACAAGCUGUGACAUGCCCAUUAUGUACUCAAUAAAUCUUUAAUAAUUGAGUGGAUAGAGUGAUGUGAGUUGAGAAGCAUUAUUAAAGAUUAUUUUCCCAAAAAUAAACAAAAAAAAUGUGCCCAUUGGCUGGUGACUAGAAUUCUACAAUUAGAGGUUUAUUCCUUUGUCUUAAUGCUUCUGCUUUUGUAAAUACCCCCGUAAUAAACGCAUGUUAAGUUUAUUAGACACCUAUUCCCCAGUGUAAACAAAGUCCUGGAAGCACAUUCUAACAGGAAGAGAGAGGGAAAAAAGUAUGAGAGCACCAAUGGACAAACAUCAGGAGCAAGUUACCUGGAUUCAGUCCUGGUUCCACCACUUGCUAGAUCUGUGUCAUUAGACCAAUCAAUUGACCUCUCUGUGCCUCCGUUUUUGUUCCUGUAAAAUGGGAACAAUAACUGUAACUACUUCCAAGUAUUGUUAUGAAAAUUGAAUGAGUUAAAAUAUAAAAAUGUUAGAGACUAGGGAAUAUGAGACUAGUCAAUGAAUGUCUAGUGGAGACAAGAAAAAGUGAACAAAAUUAUACAAGUGCUAUUAAUAAUACAGUCAGAUUUAUAUAUUUUUUCCAUCACACUGACCUCCAAUCCAGGCUGGGAAAUGGGUUUUUUAAAUCUCUUGCGUGUUUUCCAUCACUUGAACUACCAUAUUGUUUUACAAUUAUUUGUCUUGUGUCUACUGCCACCCUUACCUCACCACUGUGAGAUCCUUAGAGGUAAAAUAUUCUAUCUUAUUCAUCCUUAUAUCCCCUUCCAUUCAUCCAUUUAUUCUUUUUUUCUAACUUUUAAGUUCAUAGGUACAUGUACAGGUUUGUUACAUAGAUAAACUUGUGUCACGUGGAUUUGUUGUACGGAUUAUUUCAUCACCUAGGUAUUAACUCUAGUACCCAUUAGUUAUUUUUCCUGAUCCUCUCCCUCCUCCCACUCACUACCCUCCAGUAGGCCCCAGUGUGCGUCAUUCCCCUCUAUGUGUCCAUGUGUUCUCAUCACUUAGCUCCCACUUGUAAGUGAAAAUAUGUGGUGUUUGGUUUUCUGUUCCUGUGUUAGUUCGGUAAGGAUAAUGACCUCCAGCUCCAUCCAUGUCCCUGCAAAGGACAUGAUAUCAUUCUUUUUUAUGGCUGCAUGGUAUUCCAUGGUGUAUAUGCACCACAUUUUCUUUAUUCAGUCUAUCAUUAAUUCAUAUGUUCAUUCAUUAAAUAAAUAUUA